RNAcentral lists this ribosomal RNA (439 nucleotides) under uncultured bacterium. Its description in RNAcentral is "partial 16S ribosomal RNA". It matches the Rfam family "Bacterial small subunit ribosomal RNA", at positions 338 to 795 of the family's 1533-position model. The record is from RNAcentral.
CCUACGGGUGGCAGCAGUGGGGGAUAUUGCACAAUGGGGGGAACCCUGAUGCAGCGACGCCGCGUGGGUGAAGAAGCGCCUCGGCGCGUAAAGCCCUGUCAGCAGGGAAGAAAAUGACGGUACCUGAAGAAGAAGCCCCGGCUAACUACGUGCCAGCAGCCGCGGUAAUACGUAGGGGGCAAGCGUUAUCCGGAUUUACUGGGUGUAAAGGGGCGCAGACGGCGAUGCAAGCCAGGAGUGAAAGCCCGGGGCCCAACCCCGGGACUGCUCUUGGAACUGCGUGGCUGGAGUGCAGGAGGGGCAGGCGGAAUGUGUGGUGUAGCGGUGAAAUGCAUAGAUAUCACACAGAACACCGAUUGCGAAGGCAUCUCACGAAUCCGCGAUUGACGCUGAUGCACGAAAGCGUGGGUAUCAAACAGGAUUAGAUACCCCAGUAGUC